Molecule: ribosomal RNA, 359 nt
Filed under: uncultured bacterium
Lineage: Bacteria
Description: bacterial SSU rRNA
Rfam family: Bacterial small subunit ribosomal RNA
Source: RNAcentral
AGAGUUUGAUCAUGGCUCAGGAUGAACGCUAGCUACAGGCUUAACACAUGCAAGUCGAGGGGGAAACGAUAUUGGAAGCUUGCUUCCGAUAGGCGUCGACCGGCGCACGGGUGAGUAACGCGUAUCCAACCUGCCCACCACUUGGGGAUAACCUUGCGAAAGUAAGACUAAUACCCAAUGAUAUCUCUAGAAGACAUCUGAAAGAGAUUAAAGAUUUAUCGGUGAUGGAGUGGGGAUGCGUCUGAUUAGCUUGUUGGCGGGGUAACGGCCCACCAAGGCGACGAUCAGGUAGGGGUUCUGAGGGGAAGGUCCCCCACAUUGGAACUGAGACACGGUCCAAACUCCUACGGGAGGCAGCA